AAGUCGUAACAAGGUUUCCGUAGGUGAACCUGCGGAAGGAUCAUUUUUGAGCGAGCCUUCAUGGCGAGCAUUUAAUAUCCAUAACACUGUGAACUGUUUGAUUCCCUUUUUUGGGAUCAUAUAUUUUUACAAACUCUUGUGUAAUGAACGUAAAAUACUAUAAUCAAUAAAACUUUCAACAACGGAUCUCUUGGCUCUC
This 199-nucleotide unclassified non-coding RNA is filed under the name fungal sp. RNAcentral describes it as "partial internal transcribed spacer region". The stretch from base 1 to 46 matches the Rfam family "Eukaryotic small subunit ribosomal RNA", at positions 1786 to 1831 of the family's 1831-position model. The record is from RNAcentral. Lineage: Eukaryota; Fungi. RNAcentral also lists the same sequence under 1 other name.